This 253-nucleotide ribosomal RNA is filed under the name uncultured bacterium. RNAcentral describes it as "partial 16S ribosomal RNA". It matches the Rfam family "Bacterial small subunit ribosomal RNA", at positions 524 to 776 of the family's 1533-position model. The record is from RNAcentral.
UACGUAGGUGGCAAGCGUUGUCCGGAUUUAUUGGGUUUAAAGGGUGCGUAGGCGGCCCUGUAAGUCAGUGGUGAAAUACUCCAGCUUAACUGGAGGGGUGCCAUUGAUACUGCAGGGCUUGAGUGGAGUCGAAGUAGGCGGAAUUGACGGUGUAGCGGUGAAAUGCGUAGAUAUCGGGAGGAACACCUGUGGCGAAAGCGGCUCACUGGACCACAACUGACGCUGAUGCACGAAAGCUAGGGGAGCAAACAGG